This 253-nucleotide ribosomal RNA is filed under the name uncultured bacterium. Its description in RNAcentral is "partial 16S ribosomal RNA". It matches the Rfam family "Bacterial small subunit ribosomal RNA", at positions 524 to 776 of the family's 1533-position model. The record is from RNAcentral.
UACGAAGGGGGCUAGCGUUGUUCGGAAUCACUGGGCGUAAAGAGUACGUAGGCGGAUUGUUAAGUCAGGGGUGAAAUCCCGAGGCUCAACCUCGGAACUGCCUUUGAUACUGGCAAUCUUGAGUCCGGGAGAGGUGAGUGGAACUCCUAGUGUAGAGGUGAAAUUCGUAGAUAUUAGGAAGAACACCAGUGGCGAAGGCGGCUCACUGGCCCGGAACUGACGCUGAGGUACGAAAGCGUGGGGAGCAAACAGG